Long non-coding RNA from Corvus hawaiiensis (hawaiian crow), 988 nucleotides. RefSeq lists it as uncharacterized. Lineage: Eukaryota; Metazoa; Chordata; Aves; Passeriformes; Corvidae. The transcript is spliced from 4 exons. The record is from RefSeq and is a predicted model, not a curated record.
AAUAUGCAUUUGUAUUUUGGAUAUUCAUAAUAUUUGGAAAUAAAAAGUGUCAUGUUUGCUUGUAUUGGGGCCCUGCAUCUUAGGGAGCAAUCCCACGCAGUGCCUGGCGCCAAAUAAAACAUGCACUUUCUAACUCUAAACUGUUAGAGAGUUUUUGUCUGUCUCAGUUGGAAAUCGAUAUUAGAUCGAUAUUCAGAUUUUGGUAAAUCAUAAAGGUACAGAAAUUUGGCAGAAGAUAAAACUGCUUGCAUUCCAACUGGUCCUCAGAUAUCAGAGGUGCUUGUUGCAUCUGGACUUAGUUUCUGAUUUCACCUUAUUUGCAUUCUUAGGGAUGUGAAAGUUAAUAUGCUAAUAGGGCUUAGUGAGAGUCUUGGUGAUUUUGGUCAAAAUGUAUAGUUGAUACAAAUGUAAAAUAAACACUUUUGUCCUCCUCCAUCCACCAAUAUGACCUUAAAGGCUGUCUGACCUUCACCAGAGAAUCUUUGUACCCAUUCUUAUCUCCUUGCAGGACCAGACUCACAAGAAGGCUUGUUAUGCAUGGCAAAGGAGGAGUGAGUCUGAUGGCUCAUCACGGGGUUGUGAGGCCUCUGCUUCACCCCAGACACCCUUCAGGUGUCAGCCUUUCUUGAGGAGAUUCAAGAUCAGCAAGAGGCCCAGCUCAUAUUUUGUUCAACCAGCCUUCAACAGUUCUUCACAAUCAAAGGCAACUCUGUAGACUUUUUUUUCUUUAAAAAGGACACAGUCCACUGCAUUUAAAAUUACUUGGAAUAACUGCAAAAUCAGAUGCUUGCCCUUCAUUAUGGAUGUUGCAUCUAUUUGACUGAAAAAGAUGGGACUGCAUAUAUCCUGUCAUGACUAAACUGGACUCAUCUCCCUGCCUGUCACUCUAAAAUAAAUUGAAUGCAGGUUGAAACAAGUUCAUCAGUGGAAAUCAGAGAAAAUUCAUUGCUUUCACAUAACCAUAACCCAGUGGUUGAGCAUGCUUCUG